RNAcentral lists this long non-coding RNA (216 nucleotides) under Elaeis guineensis (African oil palm). RNAcentral describes it as "long non-coding RNA (EGUI_LNC036262)". Lineage: Eukaryota; Viridiplantae; Streptophyta; Magnoliopsida; Arecales; Arecaceae. The record is from RNAcentral.
AGGUGACGGACGUCGGUCAGACUUACCAUCAAAGUAUUAGUUGUAAUGGAUUCUCCAAGAGUGAUUAUCAGGUAGAAACCGCCGAUGACCCAUGAAGUAUAUUUUCUGUCUAUGCUUUAAAUGUAAGGAGGACCCAUUCUUGUUGCACAUUGGACAUGCUAGAUAUCCUUUGGUACUCUACCCAGAUAAGUUUUCAUAUGCAGAAAAAUUAUUUAU